Non-coding RNA from Vicugna pacos (alpaca), 210 nucleotides. NCBI's taxonomy places the organism in Eukaryota, Metazoa, Chordata, Mammalia, Artiodactyla, Camelidae. The record is from RefSeq and is a predicted model, not a curated record.
UGAGGAGCGGCUGUUUCACACUGGGAACUCUGGUCUGAAGGGCCCGGAGCAAGUCCUCUGCGCGUGGCAUCCUACAAGCUAGUGAAACUAAGCACAAAGGAAAACAAAAGGUGGCCUCAAGCUAACGUUGGACUUUCAAGGAUACUUAAAACCUGAAAAUAGAAAGGCUGAAGAAGGUAGUAAUCAACUUAAGGAGUUUUAAGAUUUUGG